GGCCACAGCCAUAUCACCCUGCAGCCCGAGACUGGUUGCCCACUGAAGCUAAGUAGGGUUGAGCCUGGUCAGUAUCUGGAUGGGAGACCUCCUGGGAAAACUAGGUUGCUGUUGGAA
RNAcentral lists this ribosomal RNA (117 nucleotides) under Sinocyclocheilus grahami. Lineage: Eukaryota; Metazoa; Chordata; Actinopteri; Cypriniformes; Cyprinidae. The record is from RNAcentral.